RNAcentral lists this ribosomal RNA (253 nucleotides) under uncultured bacterium. RNAcentral's name for it is "partial 16S ribosomal RNA". It matches the Rfam family "Bacterial small subunit ribosomal RNA", at positions 524 to 776 of the family's 1533-position model. The record is from RNAcentral.
UACGAAGGGGGCUAGCGUUGUUCGGAAUUACUGGGCGUAAAGCGUGCGCAGGCGGCUUUGCAAGACAGAUGUGAAAUCCCCGGGCUCAACCUGGGAACUGCAUUUGUGACUGCAAGGCUAGAGUACGGCAGAGGGGGAUGGAAUUCCGCGUGUAGCAGUGAAAUGCGUAGAUAUGCGGAGGAACACCAAUGGCGAAGGCAGUCCCCUGGGCCUGCACUGACGCUCAUGCACGAAAGCGUGGGGAGCAAACAGG